GGCGAACGGGUGAGUAAUGCAUCGGAACGUGCCCAGAGGUGGGGGAUAACGCAGCGAAAGCUGUGCUAAUACCGCAUGUGAUCUGAGGAUGAAAGCGGGGGACCAAGCAGCAAUGUUUGGCCUCGCGCCUCUGGAGCGGCCGAUGUCAGAUUAGGUAGUUGGUGGGGUAAAGGCCUACCAAGCCGACGAUCUGUAGCUGGUCUGAGAGGACGACCAGCCACACUGGGACUGAGACACGGCCCAGACUCC
RNAcentral lists this ribosomal RNA (249 nucleotides) under uncultured Burkholderiales bacterium. Its description in RNAcentral is "partial 16S ribosomal RNA". It matches the Rfam family "Bacterial small subunit ribosomal RNA", at positions 97 to 339 of the family's 1533-position model. Lineage: Bacteria; Pseudomonadati; Pseudomonadota; Betaproteobacteria; Burkholderiales. The record is from RNAcentral.